GACGUAGGGCGCAAGCGUUGUCCGGAUUUAUUGGGCGUAAAGAGCUCGUAGGCGGCUCGUUGCGUCGGCUGUGAAAACCCGCAGCUUAACUGUGGGCCUGCAGCCGAUACGGGCGGGCUGGAGUUCGGUAGGGGAGACUGGAAUUCCUGGUGUAGCGGUGAAAUGCGCAGAUAUCAGGAGGAACACCGGUGGCGAAGGCGGGUCUCUGGGCCGAUACUGACGCUGAGGAGCGAAAGCGUGGGGAGCGAACAGG
RNAcentral lists this ribosomal RNA (253 nucleotides) under uncultured bacterium. RNAcentral describes it as "partial 16S ribosomal RNA". It matches the Rfam family "Bacterial small subunit ribosomal RNA", at positions 524 to 776 of the family's 1533-position model. The record is from RNAcentral.